UAACGCGUUAAGUCGACCGCCUGGGGAGUACGGCCGCAAGGUUAAAACUCAAAUGAAUUGACGGGGGCCCGCACAAGCGGUGGAGCAUGUGGUUUAAUUCGAUGCAACGCGAAGAACCUUACCUACUCUUGACAUCCAGAGAACUUAGCAGAGAUGCUUUGGUGCCUUCGGGAACUCUGAGACAGGUGCUGCAUGGCUGUCGUCAGCUCGUGUUGUGAAAUGUUGGGUUAAGUCCCGCAACGAGCGCAACCCUUAUCCUUUGUUGCCAGCGGUCCGGCCGGGAACUCAAAGGAGACUGCCAGUGAUAAACUGGAGGAAGGUGGGGAUGACGUCAAGUCAUCAUGGCCCUUACGAGUAGGGCUACACACGUGCUACAAUGGCGCAUACAAAGAGAAGCGAACUCGCGAGAGCAAGCGGACCUCAUAAAGUGCGUCGUAGUCCGGAUUGGAGUCUGCAACUCGACUCCAUGAAG
Molecule: ribosomal RNA, 472 nt
Filed under: Pantoea sp. KF-19
Lineage: Bacteria; Pseudomonadati; Pseudomonadota; Gammaproteobacteria; Enterobacterales; Erwiniaceae
Description: bacterial SSU rRNA
Rfam family: Bacterial small subunit ribosomal RNA
Source: RNAcentral